This 497-nucleotide ribosomal RNA is filed under the name uncultured bacterium. Its description in RNAcentral is "partial 16S ribosomal RNA". It matches the Rfam family "Bacterial small subunit ribosomal RNA", at positions 28 to 507 of the family's 1533-position model. The record is from RNAcentral.
GAUGAACGCUGGCGGCGUGCCUAAUACAUGCAAGUCGAGCGAACGGACGAGAAGCUUGCUUCUCUGAUGUUAGCGGCGGACGGGUGAGUAACACGUGGAUAACCUACCUAUAAGACUGGGAUAACUUCGGGAAACCGGAGCUAAUACCGGAUAAUAUUUUGAACCGCAUGGUUCAAAAGUGAAAGACGGUCUUGCUGUCACUUAUAGAUGGAUCCGCGCUGCAUUAGCUAGUUGGUAAGGUAACGGCUUACCAAGGCAACGAUGCAUAGCCGACCUGAGAGGGUGAUCCGCCACACUGGAACUGAGACACGGUCCAGACUCCUACGGGAGGCAGCAGUAGGGAAUCUUCCGCAAUGGGCGAAAGCCUGACGGAGCAACGCCGCGUGAGUGAUGAAGGUCUUCGGAUCGUAAAACUCUGUUAUUAGGGAAGAACAUAUGUGUAAGUAACUGUGCACAUCUUGACGGUACCUAAUCAGAAAGCCACGGCUAACUACGUG